This 433-nucleotide ribosomal RNA is filed under the name uncultured bacterium. RNAcentral describes it as "bacterial SSU rRNA". It matches the Rfam family "Bacterial small subunit ribosomal RNA", at positions 28 to 486 of the family's 1533-position model. The record is from RNAcentral.
GACGAACGCUGGCGGUGUGCCUCAUACAUGCAAGUCGAACGAGAAGCUUCCUUCGGGAAGUGGAAAGUGGCGGACGGGUGAGUACAACAUAGGAAAUCUGCCUUUAGGUGGGGGACAACAGAGGGAAACUUCUGCUAAUACCCCAUAUGAGCUUAGCUGAAAUGCUAAUCUUGAAAGUUCCGGCGCCUAAAGAUGAGCCUGUGCCUGAUUAGCUAGUUGGUGGUGUAAUGGACUACCAAGGCGACGAUCAGUAGCUGGUUUGAGAGGAUGAUCAGCCACAAUGGGACUGAGACACGGCCCAUACUCCUACGGGAGGCAGCAGUAGGGAAUAUUGCACAAUGGGGGAAACCCUGAUGCAGCGACGCCGCGUGAGUGAAGAAGUAUUUCGGUAUGUAAAGCUCUAUCAGCAGGAGAAAUGACGGUACUGACUAAG